CAAUCUCAAACAAAAACCGAGUCCUGCUUGCGACCGCCGCACGAAUUGUGUACGUUCAGCUUGCUACUUCGGCCUCGAACGAGACCACCUAAUCACCGCUUGCCCACUCAUUGUGCACUCAUUGGACGGGAACUGAGACCCUAUUCGCAACCUUUGCUGCAGAUUAUGGCCUAUGCUCGACCCUGGCGUACCAGUGGUCGACCUUUCUUGAAGCCAGUUCCUACCUGAGCGCCGGAUAGUCAAUCAACCACUCCAUUGCCGAGUGGUUCUGCUGCUGCCCAUCGGCCGGACUCUCCCACUGGCCGGUGUGACCCUGACUCUGUGCCGGGUCUGAGGAUGCCCUCCGUCGUCACCCCUUAUAACGUGUUACCCGCGUUCGGACUACGUCGUUGCGGCGCACUCCCUGCUGCCGGAAGCCCAACAUUUGGAGAAAAUCGUCCCUUCUUCGCUUUCACUGCCAUGGACGUCUUUUUCGUGGCCGAUUGAUGCACGGUCGUCGGCGCCAUUAUGCAUCCCACGUUCGCAACAGGCCUUAAUAACCCGCAUUUCUCGAGCAUCCGCCAAACAGCGCAGACGACACUUUUGGGCUCCGAGUUGGAGCCCGGACGUCACCCAUGCCCGUCUGAUCUCACGCCAUCCCCUCUAACCUUAAGGACCACAUCGCCACCUUACGCGUCUAUAGUCCUCCUUGUGGCUACCGCUUCCGUCUAGAGACCCGGCAUUGACUGCGACUCCUCGCUUUCGCACCCCUCGCUUGUCCUAAUCUAUGGGACCAUCAGGUGCGGCAUUUGCAACCCUUGAUCUACAUCCCUGGUAAGGUGCCAAAGACACAGCGUCGAUUGCGUAAUUCAAGGGGCGGACCCCUCAUGCCAGCGUUCUGAUUUUGAGUUUCCUUAACUGCCCCCGGGCGUGUUCGCCGCCUCGUACGCCUAAUUAAGCUACGUUGCGCUUCUUGGAAUGGUUCCGAACUGUAUAUCUCCUUUGCACGACCUUUGUCAGCGGGGCGUUCCAGAGAUAUGUCCACCACGUACCAACAGCAGUCGAGCACAGCACUCUACAACCCAAUUCAGGGCGUUGCUCGCGUUGGGAGCAGGAUACAACGGUCGUGCAGUACCACCCUUGAGUACCCUCUGACGGCCCCAGUUGAGCCUCCUUCCACCCCUACUGCAGUUUAGUAGUACGGGGAAUACAGAACCCGAAGUGCGUACGAUGUUACCGGCCAUGUUUCCCGACGUUAUGGCAUUCCACCUCGCUUAGGGUUUUUCGGCCAGAGUCAAGCCUAACUCCAGACGUUGAGCUGGAGUACUUCAACCUCAGCGAUCAUUAGCACCUAGUCGUUGCGGUGCCACUUAUGCAAGGGCCCGGAACAUGUGUGGCGGGCAGUUCAGUACUUUCAGCCAUUGUGGGCUUCGGUCACCGGGUUGGCGUUCCUCCCUCGACAGCUUCCACCCUAGCCACUAAUCCUGAUUCAGCAGCAUUGUUCCCAUUGGGCAUUAGAGGGGUGG
Molecule: ribosomal RNA, 1505 nt
Filed under: bacterium BAC205
Lineage: Bacteria
Description: partial 16S ribosomal RNA
Source: RNAcentral